ACUCAAAUUGUGGCAUACGUUUAACCUCUCUCAAGUUUCAACAAACCAUCUUUUAAAUGACAAGGGUUGAGAAAAGUCUAAUUUAGUCUGUUUGUUAGAAGGCGCAUUUCUUCCUUUUUUAACUUAAUAAACUAGCUUUAAAAGGAGGUGGGGGGAGUGGGAGAGGCUGCAAUAUUUUCUGACCUCACCUUACAAAAUUAUACCUGGUCAUUUUAUAACAAUAAAAUCUAAAUGUAUGACACUUCUGGAGAGUACACAGACAGUGUCUUCAGACUGUGUAGUGAGAAUCAAGCAAGGCUCCGUGGCGGUACAACGGCAGACACAAAAGGAUCUUAAGGCCCAGGUUCCAAACCUUUGCCUUCCACCUGCCAUCGAGAAAAUGCUGCCUCCCCUGUGACCAAAGGCAUGAAUAUUCAAACUAGAGGGCUACUAAAUUAGUUUCUCAUUAAAAAAAAUUUUAGCUCAGGUGAGUUUUCUUCUUUACUUCUGUUCACAGUAGUUUCUAUAGAGGCUGCAUUUUGUUCUUCUAAAUAGAGGAAGCAUGACUUUUGGAAAGAUACGUGGGCCCAGUCAUGCGAUCCCAUGGGAUGUGAGAGUAAUAAAGUGUCUGGUGAGGAAACGUGAAGAGCCUAGUUCUGCUCAGCCAAGCAUGGUAGGUAUUAUGCCCAGGAGUCUAUCCUGUAGCUACCUGAAACUUCAUGGUGUUGAAGAAAAAGCACAGGAAUGGAAUUCAAAGGACUUGGAUUCUAGUUCUGGCUCAAUUCCUUUCUAGUUGUGUGACCAUAACUCAGCAUUGUGCAAAUGCACGGUUUGGCAGUAUGAGCUCUGUAUACCUUUGAAUCCACUCCUGCCCGGUCUGCCUGGAGGACGUAAAGAGAGUCUGGCAUGAACCUAUCUGCUUGAGGGACAAGAAACGUUCAGGGAAAGCCCCAACCUGAAACAAGGGAAGACAAGACAGCCCAGCAUGGGUUGUCAGCAAGAGUAAGCAGGAAACAGAGGGGAGAUCUUGAAUCCAGCAAAUCAGUGAGUGCAUCUUCCUCCCCACUUCCCGACACCCAUCCCAGGCAUGAUAGGACCCCUACCAUAGUGCACCAGACAGCAGAGGCUGUGGCCAACAAUGUAAACCAAGAGAAGAGCCUUUUUCCUAGGGUGACGACACCCAUGAGAUAUUAGUCCGUUUUCACACUGCUAUCAAGAGCUACCCGAGACUGGGUAAUUUAUAAGGAAAAGAGGCUUAAUUGAAUCACAGUUCUGCAGACUUAACAGAAAGCAUGACUGGGAGACAUCAGGAAAUUUACAAUCAUGGCAGAAGGCAAAGGGAAAGCCAGGGCCUUCUUCUCAUGGUUGCAGGAGAGAGAGUGUGAGCGAGCGGGGAACUGCCACUCACUUUUAAAUCAUCAGAUCCAAUGAGAACUUACGAACACAAGAACAGCAUGGGGGAAUGGCCCCCAUAAUCCAGUCACCUCACACAAGAUCCCUCCCCCGACAUGGGGAUUACAGUUUGAGAUGAGAUUUGGGUGGGGUCACAGAGCCAAACCAUAUCACUUGAUUUGCCUGGGAUAACCUUGUCUUAGAUGCCUAUUGUCCUGGCAUCAUUAUCAAUAGCUCCUUCCCUUCAUUAUCAAAAGUGCUCAGAUUUAGGUGUUAAAGUAUGUGGUCACCUGCUUUUUGGAGAUAUUUCUGUGAGUUGAAGAAAGCCAGGAGGUGGUGCCACUUUGUAGAAUGUGUCACCAUGUAGCUCCCAGGGUAGAACUGAGGAACCCUUCCUUGCUGAGGUGCCUGAAACAGAUGCAGAGUGCUGAGUGGAGAACUCAGACUGUUCAGACUGGGGACGCAGAGCAGAAUUGUGGGCUGGUAGCACCGGAAACAUCAUCACAACCCACAGAGUGGAGCCCAGGAGAUUGGCCAUGCGAGGGAUGACUGAAAGGCCUGUGCAUGGGAGAACAUGUAUAAGACACCCCACAAACCCCUGAAUGUAAGGGGAAACUGAGUGGAGGCAGAGAUCCGUGGUUUUGCUAUUGGAAAGUGGCGGGGUUGUUGACCACAUCUUUCCCAGCCUAGGGGACUGUCAAGCUCAUCCCUUCAUGCCCCCCAGGUGCAUGUGGAGGUGUGUGCAGUGUAGGAAUAGCAUAGGAGCAGCGGCACAGGCUUCACAUCACUCUUGGACUUUCAAGUGAUGCUCCCAGUGGAGGUCUUUCAUCAGGCCCAGCCCCCAACCUCAUUCUAGGCAAUGUGUCCUUUCUGGCGGUCAGUUCCUAAGGACCUUCUGGUGGUCCCUUUACUUCUCCCUCCCAGUCUCCUGCCCACAACGCCAGUGAGAGAUCAGGGUUACAGGAAACAGUUUCCCUUUCCUGCCUCUGAUUUCCUCUCAUCUAGACACUCUAUCUAAACUCAAGAAUUCCUUUUCCCUAUGGCCUUAUAUUUCAUCAAAAUAUACAUAUAAAGUAGAAAUAUUUUAUACUUUUUGUUUUAUUAUAUACUUAAAUGUAUGUAUGUGUAUCUUAUUUUUUAUUAAUAUUUAUAUUGAAAUAUAAAUUUAUUUAAAAUGUGAAGACAAAUUCUGGACAUACUCUCCACCUACCCUCAUGACUCCCUAAAACACAGAGCCAACUUCCUGUUUAAAUGGAAGAAAGAGAGAUGGAAAAUUAUAAGGAGAAAAAUAACACAUUGAUUUCCCAUAACAAAUUACCAGAAACAAAGUGACUUUAAAACAACACAAAUUUAUUAUUUUUACAUUUUGCAGGUCAGAAGUCUGGGUGGGUGCAGAUGAUUCCUCUGCUCUGGGUCUCACGAGUCCAGAAUCAAGGUGUUGGCCACCCUAGCCUCUUAUAUGGAAGCUUGUGGGUGUGGCAGGGGAGGAUCUGCUUCUAGGUUCAUUCAGGCUAUUGGCGCCAAUCAGUUCCAUGUGGCCAUAGGUCCCUCUUUCCAUCCUAGCUGUCAGCUGGAUGUCAUUCUCUGCCUUUAAAGGCUGUUGGUCCCCAGCUCAUAGCCCCUGUAAUGGUUAAUUUUAUGUAUCAACUUGACUGAGUAACAGGGCACCCAAAUAUUUGGCCAGACAUCAUUCCAGGUGUUUCUAUGAGAAUCGUAUUGGAUGCGCUUAGCAUUUGAAUCAAUAGUCUUAGUAAAGCAGAUGGCCCUCCCUAAUGAGGGUGGGCCUCAUCCAAUCAGUGGAAGGCCUAAAGAGAACAGAAGACUGACCCUCUCCAAAGUAAGAAAGAAUUCCUCCUGCCUAAUGCCUUAGAAAUAGGACAUGGGCAAAGACAUCAUGACUAAAACACCAAAAGCAAUUGCAACAAAAGCCAAAAUGGACAAAUGGGAUCUAGUUAAACUAAAGAGCUUCUGCACAGCAAAAGAAACCAUCAUCAGAGUGAACAGGCAACCUAAAGAAUAGGAGAAAAUUUUUGCAAUUUAUCAUCUGACAAAGGUCUAAUAUCUAGAGUCUACAAAGAACUUAAACAAAUUUACAAGAAAAAACAACCCCAUCAAAAAGUGGUUGAAGGAUAUGAACAGACACUUCUCAAAAUAAGACAUUUAUGCCCCCAAGAAACAUAUGAAAAAAAGCUCAUCAUCACUGGUCAUGAGAGACAUGCAAAUCAAAACCGCAGUGAAAUACCAUCUCAUACCAAUGAGAAUGGUGAUUAUUAAAAAGUCAGGAAACAACAGAUGCUGGUGAGGCUAUGGAGAAAUAGGAAUGCUUUUACACUGUUGGUGGGAGUAUAAGCUAGUUCAACCAUUGUGGAAGACAAUGUGGCAAUUCCUCAAGGAUCUAGAACCAGAAAUAACCAUUUGACCCAGCAAUCCCAUUACUGGGUAUAUAUCCAAAGGAUUAUAAAUCAUUCUACUAUAAAGACACAUGUACAAGUAUGUUUAUUGCAGCACUAUUUACAAUAGCAAAGACUUGGAACCAACCCAAAUGACCAUCAAUUGUAGACUGGAUAAAGAAAAUGUGGCACAUGUACACCAUGGAAUACUAUGCAGCCAUGAAGAAGAAUGAGUUCAUGACCUUUGCAGAGACAUGGAUGAAGCUGGAAACCAUCAUUCUCAGCAAACUAACACAGGAACAGAAAACAAAACGUCGCAUGUUCUCACUCAUAAGUGGGAGUUGAACAAUGAGAACACAUGGACACAGAGAGGGGAAUAUCACACACUGGGGCCUGUCAGGAGGUUGGAGGCAAGGGGAGGGAGAGCAUUAGGAGAAAUACCUAAUGCAUUCAGGGCUUAAAACCUAGAUGACAGGUUGAUAAGUGCAGCAAACCACCAUGGCACAUGUAUGCCUAUGUAACAAACCUGCACGUUCUGCACGUGUAUCCCAGAAUGUAAAGUAAAAGAAAAAAAAAAAAAGAAAGAAAAAAGACAUGGGUUUUUUUUUCUUGCAUGCAGACUCAAACUAAAAUACUGGCUCUUCCUGUGUCUCUAGCUUGCCAACUCACUCUGCAAGUCUUGGGACUUGUCAGCCUCCAUAAUUAUUUAAGCUGAUUUCUUAUAAUAAAUCUCUCUUCAUCUUCAAAGCCUGCAACAGUGGGCUGUAGUCCCUUUCACAUGUUGAAUCUCUUUCACUUCCUUUUCUGAUGAAUCUUUCUUUGCUUACAAAUGGAGAAAGUUCUCUGCUUUUAAGGCCUUAUGUGAUUAGAUUGGUUCCUCCCAAUAAUCUCCCUAUUUUAAAGUCCAAAGCCUUAAUUUCAUCUGCAAAGUCUCUUUCCCUAUAUAAUACAGCAUAACCAAGGUGUAUCAACAGAGAGUAUGUCACAGGAGCCAAGAUUCUGAUUACCCGCAACUUAGUAUCUCAAGAGUAGCCAGCUACACUACCCUUCUUGUAGCUCCUUGUUCAACCCCAGCCAAAGGGGAAACCCUGAAGAAACAAGUGAAGAAAUAUAAAAUGGAAAACACCCAAAGCACAUGCUGAGGUGAGGAUCAAAUAAGGAUGGUUGAAGAGUUCAGCGGAGAGUGUUGAAACUUUGCAUACAAAACAGGCGGUGUAGAGCCACAUCCCUACAGCCCUUGUCUAAUGUUUGCAUAAUCCCUUCUCAGAGGAGGCCACCGCAGUCCCUUAGCAGUCACAGAUGUUAUAGAGAGCAGCCAGGAGCAAAAAACACAGUCCUCAUUCUUAAAGGACCAGCCUAGGAAGAGAAUGGGAAGACAGAGCAGAGGAAUGAAUCAGAAACCAGCAAGACAUAGGAGAGAAGUGGUGCCAGAUUGGGAAUGAUGUUUACUGAGUCUUCGAUGUCUUUUCUUUUUUUCUUUUAAUUUUUUUUUUGGUGAUGUAUAAAUUUAAAUGCACAGAGUGAGCGUGAAUAUGAGCGUAUAUGACAUCCCAAUUAACCUUGGUGACUCUCUAGCACUGAGAAGCCACUUUAACCUUAAUGCCAGCUGGUGACCUUGCCCUGAAUCUUCAGAAAUUGCUCCCCUAGCUGGACCGGGUGUCCUCAGCUGCCAUGAAGUUGCUGGGGCAAACUGGUAGGAGACAGUGGAGCUGAAAGAGGAGAGGGGAUGAUAGACAGAAAUCUUGGAGCAAUAUCCACGUUCUUUAACUCAAAUUGACUACAUAAACUAGAAGCUUGAAAGUAGAGGUCAAUGUGUUCUCAGGACAGUUAUUAAAAUUGUAUUCUCAGUCUUCUCCCAUCCAGUAUUGCAAAGCUGUUUUUGUAGUAAAGAAAGCAAUUCAUGUUUCAUAUCUGCUGUCAUUAUAAAAGAAGUCACAGCUACAAGUCUAGACUUUUAUGUUUAUUUCAAAAGGACUUGUCCUUAUGAAAUAAUCAUUGUUUUAUGCCAGCUCUGCUUUAUUGAUCUACUAUGUACCUGAAAUUAUUUAGAUCAGGGAAAUAAGACUUUCUUCUCUUUCCAGCAUGCAGGGAAAAAUUGUCCUAGACUCCUGAGAAUAUUAUAAACAUCUGAUAUUAGAAACACAUUGGAGUUAUAUUUUUUAUUUAUUAAGUUCAGUUUCAUAUAUGCCCCAUAUUGAAAGAUUUUACUACUUCCCUCAUUAAGAAAAAAAGUUAUACCUUCAAUUGUGAGUCAUUUUUGUUUCUACAAAGUAAGAAGGAAAAAGAGAGGGCAAAGUGAAGGAGGAGGAAAAGGAGGAAGAGGAAGAAGAGGGGAGUAAAGAGAAGGGAGAGGGAGUAAAGAAAGGGAGGAGGGAAAGAUGCAAGGAGAGAAAGAGACAGGGAAGGAAAAAGAAAAAGGAGAAGAAAUUAUUUAUAGUUAUCUGGAUUUUAUAGUUCUCCUGUGAGCUGGUGGUCCAUAUGAGGAAGCAAAGGGGUUAAAAAAUUUAUGGCAAUGAUUGUGGAGUCACCAGUUAGUGAGCACUGGCCUGGAGGGAAAAUUCUUAUAUUCUCUAGCCUCAGCUUUUAAUGGCACUUCCAUGAUUCAUUGUCUUAUAACCAAAUAAUUUUGGGGGAAGUUCAUGGCAGAUGUCCUUGGCUAUAAAUGAUUUUUAUAUGCUCUAGGAAUCACUUCUUUUUAUCUGUCUUACAGAUGAAAAUGUAAAGUGUAGCUUUCAGGUGCUAAUGUACUACAUUCGUUAAUAUUGAUAGGAAGGUAAGCCCUCUGUGACUCAAUAUUAACCUUUAAUAUUUAUUUUAUUACUUAUGCAAGAUAAUUUAAAGACCCAUAUUUUCUGUUGAUGAGUGUGAAUUGCACUUUUUUCUUGCUUUGCCUUCCUAAGACUAUCUGGCUGUUGUCAGAAAGGGUAGCCAGUUCUAUUGGGGUGUGAGAAGGAGGCCUCUGCAUGAGAAGCCCGUGUUGGCUGAUUUAUGUUUAAUGCUUUCUCCAAACACUACAAUUCACCCAAAUUAGAUUUUGAACAUAUUUUUUGCCCGAUGUGAAGUAUCUCCUUUUUUUUGGUUACUUGCUGGAACAGAAUUCUAAACUGUUACCCUUUCAAUGUCUCCCAAUGUUUCUUCAGAGGUUUUUUAUGUAUUGAACAAAAAGUUUUCAAUCCAGGUCAGAAGGAUCAUUUCUUAUGUCAUCUCCUAAGAGUUUUAUAAUUUUGCAUUUUACUCUAAGUCUUUAAUACACCUGAAAUUGAUUCUUAUUUAUGGUAUAAGGUAAACAUCUAAUUCCAUUUUUUAAAUGACCCAUUUAAAAGUUAGUCCCAGAUUAUUUAUUGAAAAUUUGCAGACCCAGAAAUAAAGCCACACAUCUACCAGCAUCUGAUCUUUGAUGAAGUUAACAAAAAUAAGCAAUGAGGAAAGGACACCCACCCAAUAAGUGGGCGCUGGGAUUACUGGCUAGCCAUAUGCAGAAGAAUGAAACUAGAUGCCUAUCUAUCACCAUAUGCAAAAAUUAACUCAAGAUAGAUUAAAGACUUAAGCUUCAGACCUAAAAUUAUAAAAAUCCUAGAAGAAAACCUAGGAAAUACCCUUCAGGACAUUGGCCUUAACAAAGAAUGUAUGACUAAGUCCCCAAAAGCAAUUGCAACGCAAAUGAACUUUGAGGCCGUGUGCGGUGGCUCACACCUGUAAUCCCAGCAUUUUGGGAGGCCAAGGUGGGUGGAUCACCUGAGGUCAGGAGCUCAAGACCAUCCUGGCCAACAUGGUGAAACCCUGUCUCUACUAAAAAUACAAAAAUCAGCCGGGAGUGGUAGUGCAUGCCUGUAAUCCCAGCUACUCGGGAAGCUGAGGUGGGAGAAUCGCUUGAACCUGGGAGGCAGAGGUUGCAGUGAGCCGAGAUCACACCAUUGCACUUUAGCCUGGGUGACAGAGUGAGACUCCACCUCAAAAAAAAAAAAAGGAAAAUUGACAAUUGGGGCCUAAUUAAACUAAAGAGCUUCUGCACAGAAAAAGAAACUAUCAACAGAGUAAACAGACAACCUACAGAAUUGGAGAAAUAUUUGCAGAUUAUGCAUCCAACAAUGGUCUACUAUCUAGGAUCUGCAAAGAACUUAAACAAAUUAACAAGCAAAAAACAACCCCAUUGAAAAGUGGGCAAAGCCGUUAACAGACGUUUCUCAAAAAGCCGUUAACAGACAUACAAGCAUCCAACAAACGUAUGAACAAAUGCUCACCGUCACAAAUCAUGAGUGAAAUGCAAAUCAAAACCACAAUGGGAUACCACCUCACACCAGUCGGAAUGGCUAUUACUAAAAAGUCAAAGAAUAACAUGUGUUGGUGAGGCUAUAAAGGAAAGGAAACACAUACACUGUUGGUGGGGAUGUAGAUUGGUUCAGCCAGCAUGGAAAGCAGUUUGAACAUCUCUCAAAGUACUAAAAAUGGUGCUACCAUUUGACCCAGCAGUCCCAUUACUGAGUAUAUACCCCAAGGAAAAUAAAUCGUUCUACCAAAAAGACACAUAUACUCAAAUGUUCAUUGCAGCACUAUUCACAACAGCAAAGACAUGGAAUCAGCCUCGAUGCUCAUCAGUAGUGAACUGGAUAAAGAAAAUGUGGUACAUAUGCACCAUGGAAUACUAUGCAGCCAUAAAAAGAAUGAAAUCUUGUCCCUCCCAGCAACAUGGAUGCAGCUGGAGGCCAUAAUCCUAAGCAAAUUAAUGCAGGAAUAGAAAACCAAAUAAAGCAUGUUCUUACUUAUACGUGAGAGCUAAACAUUGGGUACACAUGGACGUAAAGAUGGAAAUAAUAGACCCUCAGGACUACCAGAGCAAGGAAGGAGGGAGAAGGGCCAGGGUUGAAAAGUACCCAUUGGGUACUAUGCUCAGUACCUGGAUGACCAGAUCAAUUGUACCCCAAACCUCAACAACAAGCAAUAUACUCAUGUAACCAACCUGUAACCAACCUGCACAUAUACCCCCUGAAUCUAAAAUAUAAAUUAAAUUUUUCUAAAAAGGGAAAAAGAAAAAAGUCAUGUUCUGCCCAUUGGUCAGCAGCAAUAAGUCAUAUCUCCCAGGUUUAUGCUCCCAAACCACACAAUCUUAAUCAAAUGUUUCAUCAUAAUCCCUGAUUUCUGGUAAAUUGAGUUCCCCACUCUUUGUUUUUUCUUUUUAAGAUAUAUAUUUUUUCUUGUCCUUUUGUUUCUCCAUAUACAUUUUAGAAUCAGUUUAUUUUGUUCAACAAACAAACAGACAAAAUCUGCCAGGAUUUGGAUUGGAAUUGAUUGAUAGAUCCAUUUGUUAAAAAUUAGCCUUAUUAUAAUUUUGAGUCAUCCUAUUUCUGAACAUGAGAUAUCUAUUUUGGGGAGAGAGGAGUCUUUAAAGUUUUCAAAUAAAGUUUUAAGAUUUUUCUAUAAAGUACCAAAGUAGCUGGAUUUAUUCUUAGGAAAUUUAUAUUUUGAUACUAUUAUAAUAGUAUCUUUUAAAACUAAAUUUCCCAAUGUAUAGAAGAAAUACAAUUUAUAUUUAAAUCCAAACAACUCUGAGGAACCCAAAUUACCCAGGCCAUUCACUUUCUUAAUAAUUGUAAUACUUUUUCUGUAAAUUCUGGGAUAUUUUGAUAUAGACCAUCGUACAGUCAGCUAAUAAUGUUAAUUUUAUUUCUUCCCUUCUAAUUCUUUUCUUUCUUUCUUACCUUACUGUGCUGUAUCCACUUCCAGUUCCACACUUAAUAGAAAUUAAUGUGGGUACUUUUUGAUGUUCUUCAUCUUAAAGGGACUAUUUCUAACAUAUCACAUUAAGUAUAAUGUUUAAUUUAUUCUGAGAGUCACAUUUUUCCCAUCUUCUCUAACAUCAUUUUGCUAAAAAUCUGAAUGUUACCCAACACUUUUUAAUGAAAUUAUUGGGAUCAUCAUGUUAUUUUUCUGUUUUGAUCUGCUAAUAUGAUAAAAUAUAUUAAUAGAUUGUCCUAUGUUAAACUACCUUCGCACAUCUGAGAUAAACGCAACAUGGUCAUCAUUUAUGUUCUUUGCUGUAUUCAGUUUGCUAAUAUAUUUAAGAUUUUUACAUCUAUUAUGUAUUAAUUAGGCUAGAAACUAAGCUGCUAUAACAAACAAAACCAACAUAUAUAGCACACAUAAGACAGACAUUUACUUUUCUCUCUGGCACAGGUAAUAGUCUGGAAUAGGGGAGUGGUUUGUGGCUGGUAGAGUUGCCUUGUGUAUUCAGUACUUAGCUUCCAAGUCAUCAUUAUUUCUCUGCCAGUUCAAAGAAGGGCAGAGAGUCCUGAACAGUCUUCAUAAAAAGACGACCAGGAAAUUGCCCUCCCCCUACCCAUUCAUAUCUCAUUCACCCAAAGCUAACUCCAUGGCUACAGAUACCUGAAAGUCAAACAGAAAAAUAUUUUCUGUGGCGUGGUGUCCAUGAACCCAGGUUGUAUGAAGUUCUGUGUGAAUGCCCAUCACUAAAAGAAACAAAGGGCAACUUAAAGGUGGGAGAUAGUUAACAGUUUCCAACACAUAUGGUCAUGAGAAAGACUGAACUCUAAUUUUGUUUGUUGUACUAUCCUCAACUUGGGUUUUGACAUGAAGAUCAUAUUAGCUUCCACCCCACCCCCCACCAAAAAAAAUUAGUUUGAUAAAUAUUCCAUCUCUUCCUACCCUUUGGUAUAAUGUGGGUGACUUUGUAACUUUAAAACAAAUGCGGUAGGACUUAUGAGUAAUAAGUACUACCUGGUGUUUUCUUUAUUUAAUGAUUCUGAAUGCUCACUAGAUACGAUAAUAUAAGCCCUUCUAUUUAUUCUUGAGUCAGUUUUGGGGGAUAUUGAAUAUGUUUUGAUAUUCAACAUCAUCAUUAUAAUUUUGUUUAAAUAUUCUCUAAAUGUUAUCACAAUUUCUUCUGUAACCCUUGAUGUUCUUUUUAGAAGAAGAACAUUUCCAUAAAUGCAAAAUUCAAAAUACCAUCUGUAGUAUGCUACCUCUUGUAUAAGAAGAGGAAAUUAGAAAACCAGUCAGGUAUCUGCUUUUAAUUUCAAAAACAACACAGGAAAGAUAAAUCAUCAAUGUUUUACUUCAAAGAAGUUUGUCACCUACAAGUGGUAAUGAGAAGCAGAGUGGAAAAAAUUUGGAGAGAAGUGACAUUUCUCUUAAUAUAGCUUUCUUGGUACAGUUUUUACUUUUGGAGGCAUGUUAAUGUUUUAUAUACUCAAAAGAAUAAAAUCAACUAGGUUGGGAAGGGAGGAAAAAAUAAAGUUAAAAGCAAAUAGAAACAAAUUAACCUAAUUUAUUUCAAAUGAAUACUAUAACCACACUGAAAGAAAAUUUAAAAGAACUAAGUAACUCACGAAAACAGUAUAUGACUGUAUAUUGUCUGUCUAGGGAAAAGUCGUGGCACAAGAGCUUCAAACAAAUCUGUCAUUCUUUUUAGUUUAUUUUGUUUUCUAUGGUGGCAUACAUAAAGCAAUUGUGAAACAAUUUAUGUUAUGGGAUCCAACAGGCAAGUAAGUGUGUCAAUUUUGUUGGGAGCCAGGUUUGUCAUUAUGAAAGAAGGGACAUACAAAUAUGUAAUGAGGGUGAACAAGAAAGAACCCUGUGAGGCCAGAUGCAGUGGCUCACGCCUAUAAUCCUAGCAUUUUGAGAGGCCAAAGCGGGCAGAUUGCUUGAGCUCAGGAGUUUGAGACUAACCCCAGCAACAUAGUGAAAACUCAUCUCUACUAAAAAUACAAAACCUAGCCAGGCGUGGUGAUGUGCACCUGUAGUGCCAGUAACUUAUGGGGCUGAGACAGGAGGAUUGCUUGAACCCAGGAGGUCAAGGCUGCAGUGAGCCAAGAUCACACCGCUGCACUCCAGCCUGCAUGACAGAGUGAGACCCUGUCUCAAAAAAAGAAAGAACCCUGUGGGAUGGAUUGGAAUGUAGCAAUCAGUGUAAAUUCAUAAUUUCUACAAUAAGCAUACUUGUGUAGGUAAUGCAUGUAAUAUGAGCGUAUGCAUACAUGUCUGUGUCCACAUAGGUAUAUAUUUGCCUGUGUGUAUAUAUACGCAGAUAUUUUCUAGCUCUAUUCAAUAAAAAGGCCUAGAAACAAAGGCAUCCCAGUAACUAUGAACACACCUAGCACUCUAAUCUUAGAUUCUAAUGCUGUGCCUCACUAAAAGAAACCAUGGCUCUGUUGAACAAGGACUCACUACAUUACUUUAAGAAGUAAACUCUGGGAAAAGAAAAACUUUUGACAAAUUAAACUUAACAGAAUUUAUUUGAGCAAAAAAUGAUUCAUGAACCAGGCAGCACUCAGAAUCAGAAGAGGUUCAAAGAGCUCCACCCAGGAGCAUGAGAAGUGAGCUUCCAUAGGCUGAACAUGGAAGCCAAGUAGAGAACACAUCUGAUUUGUUACAGCAAGGUGUUUGCCUUAUUUGGAUAUGGUCUGAUGAGUUGGCUGUCUGUGAUUGGCUAAAGCACUGCUGCUUAUGAUUGGCUGAGACCUGUUUUUUUUUUUUUACAUAAGUUAGACUCCUAAGUUAGAUUCCAGUUUGUUUCAGUACUACCUUAGGUUGCAGUUUCUCUUUAUUCUUUUUUUUUUUUUUUUUUUUUUUUUUGAGACCAAGUCUAGCUCUGUCACCCAGGCUGGAGUGCAGUGGCGCAAUCUCGGCUCACUGCAACCUCUGCCUCCUGGUUCACAUGGUUCUCCUGCCUCAGCCUCCUGAGUAGCUGGGAUUACAGGUGCGUGCCACCACGCCCAGCUAAUUUUUGUAUUUUUAGUAGAGACGGGGUUUUACCAUGUUGGUCAGGCUGAUCUUGAAUUCCUGACCUCGUGAUCUGCCUGCCUCGGCCUCCCAAAGUGCUGGGAUUACAGGCCUGAGCCACCAUGCCCGGCCAGAUUGCAGUUUCUUAUACAGAAACUUAAAGUAUGGAGACAGUCUUGGGCCAGUGGCCUCCUGCUUAUUUAACAACUCUCAGUCAUGUUUUUAUUUGCAGGUUAUUUGAUUCGUCACUCCCCAACUCCAUUGUUUUUAGAAUAUUAUCUUUGUCUUUGGUAUUGUGCAAUUUUCUAUCAUGUAUUUAGGUUUAACUGUAUUUAUUUAUACUACUUAGUAUAAAUAGCACAAAAUGGUAUAUAAAUGUUACAAAUACAUAUUUAGUGUAAAAUGAGGAAAUUAGUAAUUAAUUCUUCAAAUGUUGCUUCUGCCCCAUUUUUUCUUCUCUUUCUGGAUUGCCAGUAUGAUACGCUUUUUACCUUCUCUGUUAUCUGUUACUUGUUUUUUAGAUUUCUCUUCUCUUUGUCUCCAUUUUAUUCUGGAUAAUUUCUACAGUUCUAGUUUCAAAUUCAUUAAUUCUCUCUAAGCUACGUAUAAAAACUCUUAUUAACUGAAUUUUUACUUCCAAAGACACUUUCUACAGUAUCUUGUAGUUCUAUUUGUUUGCUUCUUUUUCAAAUAUUUGCUCUUUUUUUAAAAAAGUCUCUUGAUCUUUUUAUUCAUGUCUUCAAACUUGCUGGGAGUUUUUUUUACCUAUUAAACAUAAUUAUUUUACAUUCUGUGCUUGACAAUUCUAAUACCUGAAAACUUGCAGAUCUUAUUUUACCCUGUUUUCUUACCUAAUGCUUGUGCUCUUGCUGUGGUUUUGUGAUUUUUUUCAUUCAGUCUCAUGAGGGGAGUGUAAUUUCUGGUUCGCCCUACAGUAUGCAGGUAGACAAUUCAGAUGCCUCCUAUUGCAGGAUCUCAUAUGGGAGAUCUUGGAUGAACUCUGGCUUUCUUUGUCUUCUGCUCUGUACAUUUCAUUAAUUUGUGAAAAUGGAUGCUAAGUUUCAUUCUGAUGGUAAAUUCCCUUGAAACCAAGGUCAUCUUUAGUGCUUGGCUUACCUUUUUGGGUUCUUGCUUUAACUUGGUUUUGACCUUUCAGUCAUAAAGUAUUUUUAGGAUUUUAUUUUGAAUUUUUAGUUGUUUUCAACAGGAGGGUUAGUCAAGAUAUCUGGCCCACCAUACAGUUGGAAAGAAAUUUUACAAGUCACCUGUAUAUAUUUUAGUCAACCUUAUAUAUUUAUGGUUUAUACAUUAUUUUAUUUUAAAAAAACUUAAAAUGUACAGAUAAAAUACCACCUUACCUAACAUGUUCAUGUCACAUUGAAGAAAGAGUAGCAAUAUCAGGGCCAGAUCUCACUUCUCCCAACCCCUGCUUUAACGUCUUUCUACAACCAAGGAGUUGGCAAUAAGAAGGGGUUAGGAGGGAGGUGUUAAUCCAGGGCCUGAGAUUUAAUGCCAUUGUAAGUGGAGAUUGUGAACAUAAUGCUCCUGGGCAUGUGGACACACCUUCUGUCCCUGUGCAACUUCUGCUGCCUUGAAACUCUCAGACCCAAUUUUCAUUCUAGGUGCUUUCUUAAGACAAACCCUCAGUCUGGGAAAUUCACCAAAACUCGGUUUCACGUACAAACAUACACUUGAUUUCCACCAAUGAUAAUAUUUGGUUAGACUCACUUUUACAUUAAAUAUGUAUAUCUCUAGCAUGAAACAAUGUAAAUCAUAAUUAAAUAAUAUUUUCUGAUGAUUCUGUGUGCAUCAUUGUCUUUAACAAAUGUGUAUUACCCAUUGAAUGGUUGUGUCAUAGUUUGACCAGCAUUUUGUUUUUAGUACAUUCAUGUUGCUUCCAGCUCUUUUCCCUUACAAACUGAGCCUCUGUGAAUGCCUCUGUACUUCAUCUUUACUUAGUAUCUUUAAUUAUUUGCUCAGGAUAAAUUCUCAGAAUUUAAAUUGUGAGGUCAUAGGGCAUGCGUAUUUUUAAGGCUUGAUAGGUCCUACCCACAUGGCUCUCUGAGGAGCUGUGCGAGUUUACCUUCGACGAUGGCCCACAGAAACGUAGUGAUGGUGGCUGGCUUUUUAAAGAAGUGAAGGUGGUACCUUGAAAACUAAGUGAUACAUGAUCAUUCAAGCUGAAAGUGUCGAUGGUUUGCUGUAGGAUUAAACAUCACGUGGUGUUAGGUGUUCCUAGGCCGAUGGAUACACCCAAGGAUGAAAGAUGGUUAGGAGCCUGGACCAAGUCCUAUUAUUCAUGGAAUUUGUUCUGCAAAUUAAAAAAAAUGACCCCUUGAAAGUUGACUAAAGUGAAAUUCUAUGUUUGAACUCUGCUUUUCCAUUGACUCUCAUGUGAAAGCAAAUUAUAUAUUCAGUUAAUCCAUAAAUAUUUGUUAACUUGUUUAUUCAAGGUACAAUUUCCAUCAGGUUUUCCAAAAACAAAGACUAAGGAAAAACAAUGAUGAAACCAGUAACCUGAAGAAAUGAUCUGUCCUAAUUUAAUGACAGAAAUCGUUUUAGCUUCAUUUCCAACUCUCUCGUUCUUCUUUCUAAUACUGCACACACUCAAACCUGAAAGCACCAUAUCCACUCCCACUCUCCACCUCAAACAACUUAUAUUUAUCUAAGCAGGGCCUGUUGACCACUAGAGGAAAGUAUGAGAAAUUCAAGAUGCUAAGAUUACUUGUUAACAUUUAGUACUUAACCUGUGCCAGGAAACGACCUGAAGUUUUAAGAUGUAUCUACUCAUUACAUUCUAAUGAACAACCCUGGAAGUGGGUAGUUCCAUUACCUGUAAUCUGUCUAUGAAGAAACUAAGCCACUAUGGUGUUCAAGUCACACUCUCAGGAGAACGGGGAUAUUCUUUAUGAGACAAGAGGCAAUGAAGAUAGGUGGAGUAAAUGUAGAUACAGAUGAAUUUUUAGAUGAAAUGGAGAACAAUUGAAAGAAAUUGUCUUUAUCCUUUCUGCAAAAUAGGAGGUAAUAUAAGGAAAACUAAGACUAACGUUACUAUCCUUAGGCACUCUGAUGUCAAACAUUUUGCAUAUAACUUUUACCUACUCCUUACUACAGCCCUUCCAGAAAGAUAUUCAGUUGCUUAGUAAAAGUCUGCAAAUUCAACAUUGUUUUCCACCAAAUCUUGGUUCUUACCCCUCUGAUAUCUUACUAUUCAAUUCUCUAGUUGGUAGGAAUGAUCUUGGGAAAUUAUGAAGACCAGGGAAGGUUUGGAACAGUCACUGUAGGGAAUGAAACUCACAGCCAGUGAGAAGUGAGCGAAGAAUUGCCCCCAAAAGGUCUAUGCAUCAGAUCUUAGGAUUUGAGGUCACAAAGUGUGAUAUUAACAUGGAACCUCUCUGGAUGAUUGAAGGAUUCCCCAUAGAAGGCAGUGCUCAAAGGAUGAAGUUGAAACUGGGAGAUAAACAGAAUGUUUCAAAUCACGCUUUUGACGUUGAUGUACGCAAAUACCUAGAGUAGGAGGCAAAAAUCAUAUAUGAUACCUGCCAUGAGAGAGGAACGGAGAGGGCCAUACUUCCUUCACUCUAAUUCUAAAGUCUCGUAUUUUAAUGCCUCACAUUUGGGAUGUGUCUUUAAAUGGGUGGCAUCUUUUUCCACUGAUGGCGAGGUAGUCUUCAAAAUGUAGUUGUGAUUGCAUAUUCUAGAAAUUGGCCUUGACCCGAUCGUCCUCUCUGCAUGACUUAUGCUCACUGUGGAUAUCGUGAGUUAUAGUGCCAUUUAAAAUAUCUUCUAAGAAAAGUACUGUAUGGUUUCUCAUUGAAAAAAGUUAUUACAUACAUAAAGGAAUGGAAAUAGUGCUGCAAGGCAUGUAUGAUAUGUUAAUAGAGGAAAUAUUUGUAUCAAUGAAGUAAAUGUGAUCACAAGUCCAUAUGUUUUUGUGAAGCAGCAACCCAAGUGUUUUGCAUAACCUGUGCCAACAAAUAGAUGCAGCCAGUUAUGUCUGUUCCUGAGACAACUGGAAAGGAUUGCCUAGCACAGAUCAAACAGUGCACCUAAAGGGAGGAGAAAUUGCCAAAUUCCUGGAAAUAGGUGUAUUCCAGUUACCUCUUGCUACACAACAAAUUACUCCAAAACAAUCCUAAUAAUUUUAUCAUCUCUCACAUUCUCCAUGGGUCAGGCUAAGAAAGGGCUUGCCUGCAAAGUUCCAGCUUAAUGUCUGUCAUCCAGUUGCAGUUUGACGUGUCUGGAGAUGGGACAGUGGGGGGGCUGAAGCAGCUGGAAGCAGGUCAGGCAUCUUUCUGUCUUUCUGUAGCCACCAAGCCUCUUCCUGUGAUCUCUCUGCAUGGACUACUUUGGGCUUUGAUAUAACUUGGCAGACCCAGAUUAGCUGAACUGUUUACAUGGAAGCCAAAAGCUUCAAGAGCUAGAGCUGGUGACCCAUGAGCAAGGUCGAAGCCAAAUCUUUUAUGACCCAGCUUCCAGUGUCACAUAGAGUCACUUCUGCUGCAUUCCGUUGGUUUCCAAGAGAUUCAGAAGCCAUCCAGAUUCUGGAGGAGGGGAAUUAACUUCACCUCUUGAUUGGAAAGUAGCAAGUUUCUAGAACAUAUGGUCUAGGAGAUGUUGUUGCAGCUGUAUUUGGAAAAUACAAUCUGCCACUAGAUGAAGGAAAUGUCAAAGUGCCAGGAAGCUGGUGUUACCAGUUCAUUCAUUGUGCAGGACUUAACAUUAAAGCACUGAAAUUCCACUGAACUUCCUGCUGACUGAACAAAGCCAUCUAACUUCCAGCCACGUGUGAUUCAGUCAGGGAAAAAAAAAUGAAAUUACAAGGUUAUGUUAAUUAAACCUUGGUGCUCUUGAAGUAUGUUGUCAAUGCUAAAGGUAUUAAAGAAGUCAAAUUCAUAAUCACCAGUUGCACAUCUUCCAUGUCUAAAUAAUCCUAGAGCAGCUCAUUCAGUAAGUUAGAAUAGGAAUUUCAAGUCAUUAAAAAACAAAAAUACCGUCAUAGUUUAACUGGCAACAUUUUCUCUUAAUGGUGUGUGAAAUAAUGGUGUGUCUUACAAUUUAUGGCAUUUCUAGCUUUGAUGAAGUGCAGUAAGUGCCAUGAAGGUGCAAUGUCAGGAGAAAUUUCCUUUUCCUGGCAUGGUCAGGAAAGGACCCAGAGGAGAAAUGGUUCUGGGAAGCUCUAGGCUUUGGAAGGUAGAAAACAGACUGCAGAGAGAAACAGGAAGUCAAGGAGCAUGUUUGAAAAGCACUUUAAACGAAGCCCCGCCCCUUCCGCCCAGGCUUUGCCUGGCAUCCUGUAUGUGUAUUUCCCACUCCAAUCAGUCUUUCCCUUUUCCCUUGUGAAAUUCCUGUCAGUCCUUCGUGACUCCUUGCAGGUCCUGCCCACUGCAUAUUGAGAAGAUUUUUCGUGACUGCCACUGGAAGAUAGGUGGAGUGGAGGUGGGAGGCAGUGUUAACUCUCAAUCCAGACCCCUAGAGAGUGUUCUUGGAUCUCACGCAGGAGGGCAUUCAAGGUGAGUCACAAAGGGCAGUGAAAGAGGCAAGUUUAUUAAAAACUGCUCUAUGGAGUAGAAUGCCCUCAGAAAGGAAGAAGAGGAAUGCCUGGUAGUGGGAAGAGAUAGUUUAUUGAAAGUUACCGAUUACAGAGUAGGGCAUCCUGAGAAAACAAGCAGAGGAAUGCACCAUCUUUAAGUUUUUCUUAUAUAGGGGUCUUCUCUAUGUAAAGACUAAACUAAGCUGUGACUAUGUAAGAGUGAGAAGAUGACAUGACAAAAUAUAUUAUUCUACUGAUUUAAAGAAAACUACCCUUGACAUUUUAUUUAUUUAUUUAUUUAUUUACUUAUUUAUUUAUUUAUUUGAGACGGUGUCUAGCCCUGUUACCCAGGCUGGAGUGCAGUGCUGCGAUCUGGGCUCACUGCAACCUCUGCCUCCUGGGUUCAAGUAAUUCUCAUGCCUCAGCCUCCCGAGUAGCUGGGACUACAGAGGCACGCCACCACGCCCGGCUGAUUUUUUUGUAUUUUUAGUAGAGACGGGGUUUCACCAUGUUGGCCAGGCUGGUCCUGAACUCCUGACCUCAGGUGAUCCACCCGCCUCGGCCUCCCAAAGUGCGGGUAUUACAGGCGCCAGCCACCGUGCCUGGCGCCAGUCUAUCCUUGACAUUUUAGUAUGUGAGUAUAUCAAAACAUAACUUGUUAUCUUGAAAGCUUAUUAUCGUUAUGGGUAUUGGGACAUCUGGAUUCUCCAUUAUUGUGAGAGCAUGUCCUUGUAGGUAUCUUUAGGCUGCUUCCUCAACUAUAAGCAUCUUAGGACCAUGGGUCGUGACUGGCAAGAAAUGUACCUUGCUAGUUUGAAAAUGAAGUUGAUUUUAAAAUGGCAGCAGUCUGGUUCCCCUAGGCUCCUGCUUUCCCUAACAGCGGCAUGCAGCACAGAGCUCGGUUUGCCUGUUUUACCUAUCAGAAUUUUUGGUAAGGUUUCUAGUGAUGAAUGGGGUUCACAGCUUAGAAAUGAAAAUAAAAAUGUAAAUCAUUGCAAUAUACCACACACUUCCGUGCUCAGUCAUACAGCAGCCCAUGAAUUAGCCAUCCCCCAUCCAUUUAAUUAGUGCCUAUUUACUAAGCAUCUUCUAGGUGCCCCAUUAAUUAGCCAACCUCCGUUCAUCUGAUUAAUGCCUAUUUACUGAGCAUCUUCUAGGUGUCUGGUACUGUGUGAGCCAAUGGCUACUUCUGGUAUAUUUUGUUUCAUGAAACUUCUGAGUUGGAGAGAAAGAAAUUAAGUAAGUUUUGCAAUGACCAAAUUAGAAAUUGAUGAAAGAGUAAGGAUGUUAUAAGAACGACAGGGAUGAAAUGAUUUUUACAGGGGCAUUUUAACCACUUUAAAUCUAAAUCAAUUAUGUUUGAUUAUGCCAUAUUUUCUUAACCUCUAUAAGCUGAAUUUUAUUCGAUAUCUUUAUAACUAAGUUUUCCUCAGCAUUAAAUAUGUGUUUUGAUUCCCUCAGCAGUUACUGAAGAGAAUGGUACUUAAUUACUGAGAAAUACUUCACAUGCAUUUUCUCAUUAAUUCUCACAACUUUAUGAAGUAAGUACUGUUAGCAUACUCCUUUUUAAUAGAUACCAACUGAGAUACAGAGAAAAUGAGAACAUUGCUCAACCAAAGUUAUACUGUAGGCAGCCGAACUUGAGCACAUUUGCUUUACCAUAUGAGCUAUUUUAUGACCAUUAUAAAGGCCGUAGGAUUCACUCAUACUUCGUAGUUAAAGCUUAUGUAUGUUUUUUAAAGUUUUGUUGUUUCCUCUUUUAUGUUUUUAGUCACCCUUCUUGAGCUACAAUUUAACACCAUCCAUUGUAUCCCUUUAGAGUGUACAGUUUGAUCAUUUUGACAGUUGUAUACAUUCAUGAUAUCACCAUGCAGACAAGAUAUCAAACUUCCCAGCAUCUCCAGAAGUUUCUUCAUGUGCCUUCUCAGUUCGUUCCUCAUCUCUCUAAGAUUUUAGCGACCACUGAGAGAGAGAAAGAGACACACAGAGAGAGAAACAGAGACAGAGACAGAGGGGGACAAAGACAGAGACAGGCAGGAACAGAAAGAAUGAAUCCCUUUUGUGCUUUUUGUACCUGGCUUCUUUCUCUCACAUCAUGCUUUUGAGAUUCACCCUGCUGUGGCAUGUGUCAGUAAUAUCAAUGUAAUGUUUUGUUGCUGAAUAGAAUUGUAUGUGUCUAUCACAAGUUAUUUAUCAAUUUACCAGUUGGAUAUUUGGGUUAUUUUCAGUUUUGGGGCUAUUGUGAAUGAAAUUGCUGUGAAUAUUUGUGUACAUGUCUUUUUGUGGACAUACAUACAUAUCUACACCAACACUUGGUAUGAUUGGCCUUUUUAAAAAUUCCAGCUAUUUUAAGGAUGUACAUUAGUAUAUUAUUAUGAUUUUAAUUUGUACUUCCUUGAUGAUUAAUGAUAUUAAGCAUAUUUUCUUGUGCUUAUUGGCCAUGUGUAUAUCUUUUAUUUAAAAAUAAAUGUUUGUUCAAAUUUUUUUUUAGAAGGAGUCUUGCUCUGCUGCCUAGGCUGGAGUGCAGUGGCACAAUCUCAGCUCACUACAACCUCCACCUCCUGAGUUCCAGGGAUUCCCCUGACUGAGCUUCCUGAGCAGCUGGGAUUACAGGCACCUGCCACCAUGCCCGGCUAAUUUUUUUUUUCUUUUAGUAGAGACGGAGUUUCAUCAGGUUGGUCAGGCUGGUCUUGAACUCCUGACCUCAAGUCACUCAGGAGUCGAGGCCUCCUACCUCAGCCUCCCAAAGUGAGCCACCACACCCAGCCUGUUGUUGUAUGUUCUUAUUCAUGCAUUCUCCAAUGCAUAUGUAUGUCUAUUUGUAUGUAAUACACACAUAUCAUUGAAAUUGCAUUUUUUAUUUAUAAUUUUUAAAAAUAGAAAUUGAAAAUAAUGAAAUAAAUCUAAACUUUUAAUAUUUUCCUCUUCAUGAAUCAUUCUAUGAUUUCAUACUCAGAGAUACAAUCCAGGAUUCUUAAAUUUAAAUUAUAUUCUGGAAUUAAGCCCUCACGUGUGAGUGUUACAGUAGUGAAAUUUCAUGCAUUAGAUUUCAGAACAAUCAGUAGAGGAACUGUGUUUAUUAAUAAUUAGACUUAUAUUUAGAAACCGUAUGUCAUAAUAAUAAAUAAAAAUUUCUUUUGUAAUGACACAAUGAAUUAACAGUAAAACUGUCCUUUAAAAAUUUCGAACAUCACAUACUCAAUUUUGGCCAAUCUUUAUUUGUUGCUUAAAAAAUAAGCAUUUCUACACUGCUUUACUCAAAACCACCACAGAGUUGUGAAAAGAAUUGCUGUGCAUUUCUCAUGAAAAUGUUUGGAUACCCCACCACGCACAUCUGUACAAUUCUCAUAUUUAUAAUCAUUCAUAUUCAGAAUAGUAUGUGCCUUCUAAGUAUGCCAGUGAAAAAUAAAAUGAUUACUUUUCCUCAAACGUUCAGCAGGCAGUCUAAAUUAGCCAGCUGGUCUCUUGUCAUGGCUGGAAAUAUAUAGCUUUUUAUAAAAAGUGACAGUAAAUAUGUCUAUGGCCCAGUUACUUUAUAUGCAAGUGGAAAUUCCAUCAGUGCAAUGACUUAUGAUUGGAGAAGAGCAAAAAAGUGUAUAAAGAAAGAGAAGCAAUGAGAAUAGUGUUUCAUGUGCCUUGCAGUGGCUCACAAAAAAAUAACUCAUUUUUAGGAAGUGAAAUCACCUUGUUUUAUGGCUAGGCAGUAAUCUCAAGGUCCACUUGUUAAGUUUUUUUUUAUUAUUGAAGAUUCAGAAGUCAUUUAAAAACAUGACCUGUUAGAACAAUUCAAUGCACCAAGUCUAUUUGGAAAAAUUGUGUGGUAAAUCAUGAUUCAUUAUGCAAUUGUGAUCAGCACACAGUGUUAUAAAUUCAUCUAUCUUGACUGUAUAGUCCUUUCCAUGCAGUUUCUUUAUACAGUCUAUUAGUCCACACCCCACAUUUAUUUAUUCUUCUUUGCUUGUUCUAUUUUGUUAUAUUAUUUUUCUGUGUUUUAUGUUUUGCUCUAUUUUAAACUAUUUACUUUGUUUAAACUAUUACUCUAUCUGAAACUUUUUAUUGGUCUGUCUUUUGUAAUCUAACUUGUGUCACCAAUACCAUAAAAUGUAUGAUAGGAACAAAAUGCCAUAAUAAAUAAAACUAUCUGUAUCUGCACCAA
Homo sapiens (human) is the source of this 22186-nucleotide long non-coding RNA. RefSeq lists it as uncharacterized. Lineage: Eukaryota; Metazoa; Chordata; Mammalia; Primates; Hominidae. The transcript is spliced from 2 exons. The record is from RefSeq and is a predicted model, not a curated record.